GCCAAUUAAAGCGGUACGUGAGCUGGGUUUAGAACGUCGUGAGACAGUUCGGUCCCUAUCUGCCGUGUCAGGACGAAACUUGAGAGGAGCUGUCCCUAGUACGAGAGGACCGGGAUGGACAUACCUCUGGUGGACCUGUUGUGGCGCCAGCCGCACUGCAGGGUAGCUAUGUGUGGAAGGGAUAACUGCUGAAUGCAUCUAAGCAGGAAGCCCACCUCAAGACCAGGUUUCCCUUGAGAGCCGUGGAAGACGACCACGUUGAUAGGCCGGGUGUGGAAGCGCAGCAAUGCGUGAAGCGGACCAGUACUAAUUGCUCGAUCGGCUUGAU
RNAcentral lists this ribosomal RNA (328 nucleotides) under Alexandrium margalefii. RNAcentral's name for it is "partial Bacterial large subunit ribosomal RNA". It matches the Rfam family "Bacterial large subunit ribosomal RNA", at positions 2583 to 2925 of the family's 2925-position model. The record is from RNAcentral. Lineage: Eukaryota; Dinophyceae; Gonyaulacales; Pyrocystaceae.